RNA transcript from Choloepus didactylus (southern two-toed sloth), 2303 nucleotides. It is a transcript of the gene named syntaxin 1A, with no coding region annotated. The record is from RefSeq and is a predicted model, not a curated record. NCBI's taxonomy places the organism in Eukaryota, Metazoa, Chordata, Mammalia, Pilosa, Megalonychidae. The transcript is spliced from 10 exons.
GCUGCAGCCGGCGCCGCGGCCGCCACUCCCGGGAGCAUGAAGGACCGAACCCAGGAGCUCCGCACGGCCAAGGACAGCGACGAUGACGACGAUGUCACUGUCCCCAUGGACCGAGACCACUUCAUGGAUGAGUUCUUCGAACAGGUGGAGGAGAUCCGCGGCUUCAUUGACAAGAUCUCAGAGAACGUGGAGGAGGUGAAGCGGAAGCAUAGCGCCAUCCUGGCCUCCCCCAACCCCGAUGAGAAGACGAAGGAGGAGCUGGAGGAGCUAAUGGCCGACAUAAAGAAGACAGCCAACAAAGUCCGUUCCAAGUUAAAGAGCAUGGAGCAGAGCAUCGAGCAGGAGGAGGGCCUGAACCGCUCCUCAGCAGACCUGAGGAUCAGGAAGACUCAGCACUCCACGCUGUCCCGGAAGUUUGUGGAGGUCAUGUCUGAGUACAACGCGACGCAAUCUGACUACCGCGAGCGCUGCAAGGGCCGCAUCCAAAGGCAGCUGGAGAUCACGGGCAGGACCACGACCAGCGAGGAACUGGAGGACAUGCUGGAGAGCGGGAACCCGGCCAUAUUUGCCUCGGGGAUCAUCAUGGACUCCAGCAUCUCGAAGCAGGCGCUGAGCGAGAUUGAGACACGGCACAGCGAGAUCAUCAAGCUGGAGAACAGUAUCCGCGAGCUGCAUGACAUGUUCAUGGACAUGGCCAUGCUCGUGGAGAGCCAGGGCCUCCCGAAGGCCUGCCCUGAGCCCCCUCCAGAGCCUGAGGAGGGGGCCCUCUGGAGCUCAAUGCUCCGCGGCCCUGCAGGGGGAGAUGAUUGACAGGAUUGAGUACAACGUGGAGCACGCCGUGGACUACGUGGAGAGGGCUGUAUCCGACACCAAGAAGGCUGUCAAGUACCAGAGCAAGGCCCGCAGGAAGAAGAUCAUGAUCAUCAUCUGCUGCGUGGUUCUGGGCAUCGUCGUCGCCUCUACCUUCGGAGGCAUCUUUGGAUAGAAACUGCCCCACCUGCCGCUCCGCUCUGGACGGUCCACCCCAGGGGGCUCCCGGGCUGCUGCUGCUGCCUGGCUGGGUGGCCCUCUGCACCCCGCUCUGGCUCAGAGAGCCUCCCGCGCUCCCCCCAUGUCCCCACACUGCUCCCUCGUGGCCUCAGGGCCUCCACCCCAGCCCUGCCCUGAGCCGGGCUAGCUGCAUGAUCUUUGUCCCAGUGUGUGUCUGUACAGAGGCAGAGGGGAGCCAGGCUGAGAAAGAGCCGGUGGGGUAGGGACGGGUCACCAAGGGACAGACCCAGCCCGGGCCGCCUCAGCCUUACCGGGCAGGGCUGCCCAGGGGAGCACAUGUGACCCUUCCCUGGCCUUCAGUCACUCCACCUGGGCCUGGGAGCCACCCUCUACUGGAAUCGAGGCACUCUCCCAACCCCAAUCUUACCUCCAACUGACCUGUCCCCGUUUUCUGGCCUCCAGCUGUGCCCCCAAGUGACCCCUUGAGGGGUGGGGACCAGCUGGCCACAUGGUGCUGCUUUUCAGGUUAGGGGAGGGGUGGCCCUGAGGGACAGCUGUCACUGCCAGAGAGGCUCAGGGUGCCAUGGCUUCUGGCUGUGUCGGGGCUCCUCCCCUACCCAGGGGCACAGCCCAACAGGUCUUUGGCCACCUUGGCCAAAGCCCUGGCCUCAGCCUCCUUUCCCACAUUCCAGCAGCCCAGGAGCAACCCCUUUGGGCUAGGUCCGACCCUGGGUGACCCUCUGGAAGAGGCCAGCCGGUGUGUGUCCGGCCACCCUCUGGAGUCGGGGAAGCAGAGGAGGCCCCAGUCAGGCCUCUGCCCUGCCACUCUCCCUGGCAGGCCUCAGUUGAGCCCUCAAGCCAUUGUGUGUUGCAUGUUUGGGACAGUGGUCCUUGCUCUCUUGUGCUCUGGGAGGUCAGAUGUCACUUCAGGCCUGCAGUCACGUCCUGCCCUCGCUGUCCCAUUGAUGUGCCAUGUGCGUGUCAGGUGUCUUGGACACAGUAUUCACAGCCAGCCAGGGCAGUUGCCACCCUCCUUACCAUCCUAGGGCUGCUUUCUCAAGCCAGAAGCAGUCCCCACCCCAGGACCCCUCUCCCUCCGGGACAGGCAGGGUGUGCAUGCGAGUGCAUGCAGCAGGGGACGGGGCCCUGUCUGCCACUGUCCUUCAGCUCUGCUCCUGCCCAGUGACCGUGACCACUGGCCAUGUUGCCUUCAACAGCGACCUUCCUCUCUUCCACCCCUUCACCAAAGGUCUUGGUACAACCAGCUGCCCAUUUUGUGAAAUUUUUAUGUAGAAUAAACAUUUGUAUCUGUA